GACGUCACAAUGAAGGCUGCGAAGAUUUUGCUCUUUGCUUUCUUAGCAAACGUUCGUGGACAAUAUAUAGAACUGAACUCUUUUACUUUGGGUGAGUACUUCGGUGAGACGUCACAAUGAAGGCUGCGAAGAUUUUGCUCUUUGCUUUCUUAGCAAACGUUCGUGGACAAUAUAUAGAACUGAACUCUUUUACUUUGGGUGUGCUUGCGCCGGAAGUGGCGUCCCAGCUUGAGAUUUUGAUUCAAAACGACUUUGUUGCGGUGAACAAGACGAUAAGUAAUCUAAACGACCAGUUCAAAGUAUGCACUGACCUGGUCUCAAGAAGACAUGAGCAAUGUGGGAAUUGCAUCAACGAAAAUUGCCAGAUCAAGGCCCAUGAAUGCUCCGUGCAUGUAGACAUGAAGAAAUUGCCAUGCCAAGCCUCUCCUACGGCUUGUAAGGUUAUAAAUGUGGUGAAGAAGGCUGCAGAACUUGUGAAGAAAACUGGAGACAAAAUCAAAAAUGG
Molecule: long non-coding RNA, 505 nt
Organism: Liolophura sinensis
Lineage: Eukaryota; Metazoa; Mollusca; Polyplacophora; Chitonida; Chitonidae
Exons: 4
Source: RefSeq, a predicted model, not a curated record